This 607-nucleotide ribosomal RNA is filed under the name uncultured bacterium. Its description in RNAcentral is "bacterial SSU rRNA". It matches the Rfam family "Bacterial small subunit ribosomal RNA", at positions 40 to 666 of the family's 1533-position model. The record is from RNAcentral.
CGGCGCGUGCUUACACAUGCAAGUCGAACGAUGAAGCUUAGUUUACUAGGUGGAUUAGUGGCGCACGGGUGAGUAAUAUAUAGAUAAUGUGCCUCUUAGUCUGGGAUAGCCAUUGGAAACGAUGAUUAAUACUAGAUACUCCUUCUCUUUAUAAUAAGAGUUGGGAAAGUUUUUCGCUAAGAGAUCAGUCUAUAUCCCAUCAGUUAGUUGGUAGGGUAAUGGCCUACCAAGGCAAUGACGGGUAGCGGGUUUGAGAGGAUGAUCCGCCACACUGGUACUGAGACACGGACCAGACUCCUACGGGAGGCAGCAGUGAGGAAUAUUGCACAAUGGAGGAAACUCUGAUGCAGCAACGCCGCGUGGAGGAUGACGCAUUUCGGUGUGUAAACUCCUUUUAUAUGUCAAGAAAAUGAUGGUAGCAUAUGAAUAAGCACCGGCUAACUCCGUGCCAGCAGCCGCGGUAAUACGGAGGGUGCAAGCGUUAUUCGGAAUCACUGGGCGUAAAGGACGCGUAGGCGGGAAGCCAAGUCUGACGUGAAAUCCUACAGCUCAACUGUAGAACUGCAUUGGAAACUGGUUACCUAGAGUAUGGGAGGGGGAGAUGGAA